This 466-nucleotide ribosomal RNA is filed under the name uncultured bacterium. RNAcentral describes it as "partial 16S ribosomal RNA". It matches the Rfam family "Bacterial small subunit ribosomal RNA", at positions 29 to 506 of the family's 1533-position model. The record is from RNAcentral.
ACGAACGCUGGCGGCGUGCUUAACACAUGCAAGUCGCACGGAAAGGCCCUGCUUUUGUGGGGUGCUCGAGUGGCGAACGGGUGAGUAACACGUGAGUAACCUGCCCUUGACUUUGGGAUAACUUCAGGAAACUGGGGCUAAUACCGGAUAGGAGCUCCUGCUGCAUGGUGGGGGUUGGAAAGUUUCGGCGGUUGGGGAUGGACUCGCGGCUUAUCAGCUUGUUGGUGGGGUAGUGGCUUACCAAGGCUUUGACGGGUAGCCGGCCUGAGAGGGUGACCGGCCACAUUGGGACUGAGAUACGGCCCAGACUCCUACGGGAGGCAGCAGUGGGGAAUAUUGCACAAUGGGCGGAAGCCUGAUGCAGCAACGCCGCGUGCGGGAUGACGGCCUUCGGGUUGUAAACCGCUUUCGCCUGUGACGAAGCGUGAGUGACGGUAAUGGGUAAAGAAGCACCGGCUAACUACGU